This 1685-nucleotide ribosomal RNA is filed under the name Doryrhamphus japonicus. RNAcentral describes it as "16S ribosomal RNA". It matches the Rfam family "Bacterial large subunit ribosomal RNA". Lineage: Eukaryota; Metazoa; Chordata; Actinopteri; Syngnathiformes; Syngnathidae. The record is from RNAcentral.
CACCUUAAAACUAGUCCGAACUUAAAAGUCAAUAAACAACCAUAAAUAACCCCUCAUACAUCAAUACAACUAAAUAAAACAUUCUUCCCCCUUAGUAAGGGAGACAAAAAAGGAAAUAGGAACAAUAGAAAAAGUACCGCAAGGGAAAGUUGAAAGAGAAAUGAAAAAGCUCAAUUAAGUAGAACAAAGCAGAAAUUAAACUUCGUACCUUUUGCAUCAUGAUUUAGCUAGAAAUAUUUAAGCAAAGCGAGCUUAAGUUUAAAACCCCGAAACCAAGUGAGCUACUCCAAGGCAGCCUAUACAUAGGGCUAACCCGUAUCUGUGGCAAUAGAGUGGGAAGAACUUUGAGUAGAAGUGACAGACCUAACGAACUUGGUUAUAGCUGGUUGUUGGAGAAAAGAAUAGAAGUUCAGCCUAAUUUAUUAUCGACCCAAAACAGUAAAAGCUUACAAAGCUGAAGAUAAAGAAAUUAGAGUUAGUCAAAAGAGGUACAGCUCUUAUGACCUAAGAUACAACUUUAAAAGGAGGCUAAAGAUUAUAAUAACUUGAAGGUAAAUACCCCGGUGGGCCUAAUAGCAGCCACCCUAAAAGAAAGCGUUAAAGCUCAAGCAAGACUCCACCUUAUAUACUAAUAAUCACUCUUAAACCCCUGAAACUAUCCAACCACCCCAUUAAAAAUGGAAGUGAUUAUGCUAAUAUGAGUAAUAAGAGAACUAAGCUUCUCUCUCGACACAUGUGUAAAUCGGAACGAACACGCACCGAUAUCUAACGCCCCCAACCCCAGAGGGAAAUGUACUAAAAAUUAACAACAAGAAGACCCAUCAAACAACCCCAGCGUUAACCCUACACCGGUGUGUUAUAAGAGAAAGACUAAAAAGAGAAGAAGGAACUCGGCAAAACAAAGACAAGCCUCGCCUGUUUACCAAAAACAUCGCCUCUUGCAUAAAACUAAGUAUAAGAGGUCCCGCCUGCCCUGUGACUAUAAGUUUAACGGCCGCGGUAUUUUGACCGUGCGAAGGUAGCGCAAUCACUUGUCUUUUAAAUGAAGACCUGUAUGAAUGGCACGACGAGGGCUUAACUGUCUCCUUCCCUUAGUCAAUGAAAUUGAUCUACCCGUGCAGAAGCGGGCAUAAGACCAUAAGACGAGAAGACCCUAUGGAGCUUUCAGACGCACAAGAAGACCAUGUUAAUUAACCCCGCUAAGGGGGCAAACCAAGUGCAACCUACUUGAAUGUCUUUGGUUGGGGCGACCACGGGGAAAUAUAAAACCCCCACGAGGAAAGAGAAUAAAAUCUCAAAACUAAGAACCGCAGUUCUAAGUAUCAGAAUUUCUGCCCUUAAGAUCCGGUGAGCCGAUCAACGAACCAAGUUACCCUAGGGAUAACAGCGCAAUCCCCUUUUAGAGUCCCUAUCAACAAGGGGGUUUACGACCUCGAUGUUGGAUCAGGACAUCCUAAUGGUGCAGCCGCUAUUAAGGGUUCGUUUGUUCAACGAUUAAAGUCCUACGUGAUCUGAGUUCAGACCGGAGUAAUCCAGGUCAGUUUCUAUCUAUGAAGCGACCUUCUCCAGUACGAAAGGACCGAGAAGGAGGGGUCCAUCCCUAAGGGAAACCUCUCCCCCACCUGUUGAAGUUAUCUAAAACAGACAACGGGGAGCCCAAACCCAUAAACCCCAGAUAAUGGUAU